Molecule: long non-coding RNA, 343 nt
Filed under: Lathyrus oleraceus (garden pea)
Lineage: Eukaryota; Viridiplantae; Streptophyta; Magnoliopsida; Fabales; Fabaceae
Description: Pisum sativum (pea) long non-coding RNA (PSAT_LNC017959)
Source: RNAcentral
UCUUUUGUGAGAUGAACAUUAGAGAGAGGUGGAAGAGUUAAGCAUUACAUAAGUGUUUAUUGUUUUUUAUUUAAUUUUUUGUUUUCCUUUUUUAUAUACACCGCCACAUGUCACUGUGGGGUUGGUGACAUGAGAAAUUUGAAUGUGUGAGGGUGGUGCGUCGCCGCUCUUUUGUCCAACAUCUUUUCCUUUCUUUUAUUUUUUAUUGUUUUAAUUUUUAUGUUUGUUUUAUUUUUGUUUAUUAUUUUUUUCUUAUUUUCUUUUUAUGUUAUUAGGGUUUAUUUUAUUUUAGUCCUCUUGGGCCCAAGUUACUUUGCAUGUUUGCACCCUUGUACAAUUGUUU